Molecule: non-coding RNA, 45 nt
Filed under: Schistosoma curassoni
Lineage: Eukaryota; Metazoa; Platyhelminthes; Trematoda; Strigeidida; Schistosomatidae
Source: RNAcentral
AUUCACCUGACGAGUCUCAAAUAGGACGAAACGCGCAUCCUGGAU